Non-coding RNA from Miniopterus natalensis, 405 nucleotides. NCBI's taxonomy places the organism in Eukaryota, Metazoa, Chordata, Mammalia, Chiroptera, Miniopteridae. The record is from RefSeq and is a predicted model, not a curated record.
UACUAUAUGUGACCAGUGGACCGGCCCACAGUGCAUGGGAAUUCAAAAGUCUCAAAGCAAGUUCAAAGCAAACAUGCUAUAUCAAGGACUGAGAAAGUGGGGGCACUGGCGUCCCCAAGAGGCCACACUUCCUAUUCAAACCUGAAGCUGCAUUGAACACAGAAAAGAGGCAGUGACUUUCCAGAAAACAUGAAUGCCCAGGUCCUAUCAUAUCCUUCCUUAUUCAUUUACUCCCCUCUGUUUGCCAACUACUUGUGCUGGGAGUGAUGACAUGAAACAAGAAGGAAAGCUGAUCGGAAAUCUCAUAGAAGGAAGCUGUGAGUGGGUCCUUACUGGCACCCAAGUCUGAAUGAUUUCCGGGUCUCCCCUCUGCAUUAAAGGUUCAUUUGUUCAUUUAUCCAAACU